GUAGGUAUAGCUCAGAGGUAGAGCGCAUGCCUAGCAUGCACAAGGUUCUGGGUUCAAUCCCCAGUGCUCCCA
RNAcentral lists this transfer RNA (72 nucleotides) under Camelus bactrianus (Bactrian camel). It matches the Rfam family "tRNA". From Rfam's summary of the family: Transfer RNA (tRNA) molecules are approximately 80 nucleotides in length. Their secondary structure includes four short double-helical elements and three loops (D, anti-codon, and T loops). RNAcentral also lists the same sequence under 2 other names. The record is from Rfam by way of RNAcentral. Lineage: Eukaryota; Metazoa; Chordata; Mammalia; Artiodactyla; Camelidae.